UAUUUUAUGCAUGAUAAAGUAAGCGACUAGUAGAUGCUCUAAAAAUUGUUUCCAGCUCCGGAACAAAUUUUUAAGGAUUUCUAUAGAUUUAAAUUUCUAAAUUCCAAACAUUUUUAUACAAUUCACGGCUUUAAAAAACCUUUUUAGCCCGUAGCUAUUUACGUCGCGCUUUAUAUCUUUAAUUCCUUCGUAAAUGCACGGCAUGCAAAUAUAAACAAAUUGCGAGUCUGUGAAAAAAAAGGAUUCUUUUCUUAGUGCUGUCGCUCAGUACAUCGUUUGCAUAUUGCGACACGCUUUGUUACCCCUCGAGAAGAACAGCAAGAGACAAACUCUCACACACCCGCACACACACAUACAUAUCUAUAUAUAAUACACCCACAAUAAAAAUACUAGACUGACUAUAUAAAAAAACAGAAAGAGAAAAUAAAAACAGGUAAAAGCUCCAGAGGGCAAUGAAUACAAUAAACAAAAUGCGUAAACAAGGAGGAAGCGCUCAAAGCGGGCAUGAUUAAAAAGUAAGCAAGAAUAAUUGCAAAACAUUUAAGAACACAGAGGAGGGACAGGUGGAAAGGGGACAGGUGGAAGAUGGAGGAACCAGAGGCACAGAAGCUGUAAAGCAAAUGAAGUGCAUUAGAAAAUAAGAAAUUUAAUUUCGGGCCAAGCCAAAAACCAAUUUUCGUCCCUAAUGGAAUCGUUUCAAGGGGCGUAUGAGUGAUGUAACGAGUCGGGCUAGACUGCCGAGUGCUGCACAUUAACUAGAUAACAGAUACCCAAACAGAUGACACAUCUACACAUACAGAUAUCGUGUUUUAAUCGCUUGACAGUUGAGAGAGAGAUGUGUGAGGAGGGAUUGGUUGGGAGAGCGCUGCCAGUCGAGGCUGUGUAGGAGUCUGUGUGACAGGCACAAUGAAACGCACUAAAUCAUAAAGGAUCUCUGGCUAUAAACUGCACAAAACGCACAAAAACGUUCCUGUUGCUGUUUUAGUGGCUCAAUACAGUGACACAGUCGAACUUGAAGGCAAACUCCAGCUCGAGUUUCGAGGCUGGAGAGCUGAGAGUCGAGGCUGAGCCGAGCCAGAGCAGCAGCAAGUGGCUGUCAAUGCAUUCGGGCAGUGCUUAAGAUAAGAUGCGGGUCUUUGGAGCUUUACUCUGGCUAUAGAUGCCAUAAGAAUACAUAAGCACACGCACACAGACACACACAGGCACACACACUUAAAGUUGACUGUCAAACUUUGUUGGGAUUACAGCAGCUGUGCGAGAGAUAAAGUAGAAAUGCAAUUGAGAACAAUUUAGAUAGCAGGCUAAGGCAGCAAAGCUUGAGAUAUAAAUGAAUGAGUUAUUGUUACGAAAAUGUAAUAAAGCCAAUUAAGGCAAUACAUUGCUCAAAACAUCAUAAUACCAAAAAGUUAUCCGAAUAGGCACAUUUAUUUAAGCUGUCAUGGGCAGCGGCUAACCACAAGCAUUUCACUCGCCCGUAAAUUAUUGGCCAAUUUUACGCACAGAUUACAUAAAAUACUAUUAGGGAAGUUAAGAGAGAUUCCUAUUGAGCAAUAUAAGUGUUUAUUUGGUAUAUACAUAUUUAUACAACGAUUUCUAUCUAUCGACAGUUGGCAACAGUCAAGCAAAGCGAAAGUUAGCCGAAAAGUUUUUAAUAAAUGUCACAAGGGAUAAAAUUUAAAGUUGAGAUUUCAUAUAAAUAUUUAAGAACGUCAAAGUUAAUCCAUCGACGAUUUUUGAAGACACAACGACCAUAUAUAUAUAUAUAUAUAUAUUCCUGACUAGUUAGAAAAGUCAAGUUCUAUUCACCUGUUCACCUGUAUAAACGUUUGAUAUAUAGAUAUACUUCUAUAACAUAAAUGGCAUACUGGCAUACU
This is a long non-coding RNA of Drosophila mojavensis, 1874 nucleotides long. RefSeq lists it as uncharacterized. The transcript is spliced from 2 exons. Lineage: Eukaryota; Metazoa; Arthropoda; Insecta; Diptera; Drosophilidae. The record is from RefSeq and is a predicted model, not a curated record.